GACGAACGCUGGCGGCGUGCUUAACACAUGCAAGUCGAACGGAAAGGCCCUGCUUUUGUGGGGUGCUCGAGGGGCGAACGGGUGAGUAACACGUGAGUAACCUGCCCUUGACUUUGGGAUAACUUCAGGAAACUGGGGCUAAUACCGGAUCGGAGACCCUGCUGCAGGGUGGGGGGUGGAAAGUUUCGGCGGGUGGGGAUGGACUCGCGGCUUAUCAGCUUGCUGGUGGGGGAGUGGCUUACCAAGGCUGUGACGGGUCGCCGGCCGGAGAGGGUGACCGGCGUCAAUGCGCCUGCGGUACGGCGCAGUCUCCUACGGUGGGCAGCGGUGGGAAGUAUUGCACAAUGGGCGCGCGCCUGAUGCGGCGGCCCCGCGUUCGGGAUGACGGCCUUCGGGUUGUAAACCGCAUCCGCCUGUGACGAAGCGUUUGUGACGGUAAUGGGUAAAGAAGCACCGGCUAACUACGUG
Molecule: ribosomal RNA, 468 nt
Filed under: uncultured bacterium
Lineage: Bacteria
Description: partial 16S ribosomal RNA
Rfam family: Bacterial small subunit ribosomal RNA
Source: RNAcentral